RNAcentral lists this ribosomal RNA (516 nucleotides) under Pfiesteria piscicida. RNAcentral's name for it is "partial small subunit ribosomal RNA". It matches the Rfam family "Eukaryotic small subunit ribosomal RNA", at positions 630 to 1132 of the family's 1831-position model. The record is from RNAcentral. Lineage: Eukaryota; Dinophyceae; Peridiniales; Pfiesteriaceae.
GGAGUUAUUGUCGGUUUGCGAUGUGGGGGAAACUUCAUGUUGCGAGCGGAUGGUAGCUGAUAUAAAGCAUUUAUUGAUGGCUGCUCAUUUAUUUGGGUGGUCGUAUAUUGAUGGAUGCAUUUUACUAUUAAAAAAUUAGAAAGUUUCAAUUAAGUUGUAAUUGGAUUUUUGAAUAGUCGAAGAAUGGUAUAAUAGAAUAGGAUUUUGGAAUCAGUUUGGAAUGUUAGAUGAUUCUAGAGUAAUGAUUAAUAGAGAUAGAUGGAGAUAUUUGUAUUUGAUGGCUAGAGGUGAAAUUCUUGGAUUCUUCAAAGACAAACUAACGCGAAAGCAUUUAUCAAGUAUAUGCUCGUUAAUCAAGAACUUAAGUAAAGGGAUCAAAGAUGAUAAGAUACCGUCGUAGUCUUUACUAUAAACUAUGCCGAUUAGGGAUCUAUUUUAUUACGUAUUUUAUGUUAGUUAAAAUGGGAACCUUGUGAGAAAUCAUAAAUGUUCGGGUCCCGGGGGGGGGCUCGGGGG